GAGAGGGGGGAGCUUGGAAGGGGACUUAAAGCCCACCCGGUUCCAUGGGCAGGAUCGAGAGCCACAGGGUGGUCGAAGGCACUGCUGAUGCAAAGCAGAAGGAAGACUUGACCUCAUCUCUUUUCUAAAGCGCAAGAUGCAAAGAAAAUCCGCUUGAUAUAAAGAGCACCCUAUAAUUGCCUUUGUCCUUUAGGUCCUGCUCUUCUGUUUGUAAAAACCGGCCAAGAAAACACAGAGGGAAGAAGAUUUUAUGCUUGUUCAGCUUGUAGGGACAGAAAAGAUUGUAAUUUUUUCCAGUGGGAAAAUGAGAAGCAGGAGACCUCUACCAUCCAGCAGGCACCUAGUGAAUCUCUCGACGCUCACGCAAGAGGUUAACGGUCUACAUCUCACUAUGCAACAAAGGAGCACAACCAUGGCAAAAUAGAAGUACAUAAUGUGACGCUCAUUAACGCAGAUCUGACACGGUGGAGAUGUAGAUGGUACUACAGAGAGCAGCAGAAACACCAGAAGAAAAAGGAAUGCAAUGACACUUACUGGCAAGUCCUGGUGCCAGAGAGACUGGGACAGGUACUGCGUUUGUGACCGGACUUGCCACAGACAAAACAGCCAGCAUCAGUCUUCUCACAAGUGUGGUUCUGAAGUGUGCAGCAGU
This is a long non-coding RNA of Cuculus canorus (common cuckoo), 652 nucleotides long. RefSeq lists it as uncharacterized. The transcript has 4 exons. The record is from RefSeq and is a predicted model, not a curated record. Lineage: Eukaryota; Metazoa; Chordata; Aves; Cuculiformes; Cuculidae.